GACGAACGCUGGCGGCAUGCCUAACACAUGCAAGUCGAACGAGACCUUCGGGUCUAGUGGCGCACGGGUGCGUAACGCGUGGGAACCUGCCCUUAGGUUCGGAAUAACUCCCCGAAAGGGGUGCUAAUACCGGAUAAUGUCUUCGGACCAAAGAUUUAUCGCCUUUGGAUGGGCCCGCGUUGGAUUAGCUAGUUGGUAGGGUAAAAGCCUACCAAGGCGACGAUCCAUAGCUGGUCUGAGAGGAUGAUCAGCCACACUGGGACUGAGACACGGCCCAGACCCCUACGGGAGGCAGCAGUGGGGAAUAUUGGACAAUGGGCGAAAGCCUGAUCCAGCAAUGCCGCGUGAGUGAUGAAGGCCUUAGGGUUGUAAAGCUCUUUUACCCGGGAUGAUAAUGACAGUACCGGGAGAAUAAGCUCCGGCUAACUCCGUG
RNAcentral lists this ribosomal RNA (433 nucleotides) under uncultured bacterium. RNAcentral describes it as "partial 16S ribosomal RNA". It matches the Rfam family "Bacterial small subunit ribosomal RNA", at positions 28 to 507 of the family's 1533-position model. The record is from RNAcentral.